RNAcentral lists this ribosomal RNA (276 nucleotides) under uncultured prokaryote. RNAcentral's name for it is "partial 16S ribosomal RNA". It matches the Rfam family "Bacterial small subunit ribosomal RNA", at positions 524 to 800 of the family's 1533-position model. The record is from RNAcentral.
UACGUAGGGGGCUAGCGUUAUCCGGAAUUACUGGGCGUAAAGGGUGCGUAGGCGGUCUUUCAAGCCAGAAGUGAAAGGCUACGGCUCAACCGUAGUAAGCUUUUGGAACUGUAAGACUUGAGUGCAGGAGAGGAGAAUGGAAUUCCUAGUGUAGCGGUGAAAUGCGUAGAGAUUAGGAAGAACACCAGUGGCGAAGGCGAUUCUCUGGACUGUAACUGACGCUGAGGAGCGAAAGCAUGGGUAGCGAACAGGAUUAGAUACCCCCGUAGUCCCUGA